UAACGUCCCAGUUCGGAUUGUAGUCUGCAACCCGACUACAUGAAGCUGGAAUCGCUAGUAAUCGCGAAUCAGAAUGUCGCGGUGAAUACGUUCCCGGGUCUUGUACACACCGCCGUCACACCAUGGGAGUCGGAAAUGCCCGAAGUCAGUGACCCAACCGUAAGGAGGGAGCUGCCGAAGGUGGAGCCGGUAACUGGGGUGAAGUCGUAACAAGGUACC
Molecule: ribosomal RNA, 219 nt
Filed under: uncultured bacterium
Lineage: Bacteria
Description: partial 16S ribosomal RNA
Rfam family: Bacterial small subunit ribosomal RNA
Source: RNAcentral